This 468-nucleotide ribosomal RNA is filed under the name uncultured bacterium. Its description in RNAcentral is "partial 16S ribosomal RNA". It matches the Rfam family "Bacterial small subunit ribosomal RNA", at positions 28 to 507 of the family's 1533-position model. The record is from RNAcentral.
GACGAACGCUGGCGGCGUGCUUAACACAUGCAAGUCGAACGGAAAGGCCCUGCUUUUGUGGGGUGCUCGAGUGGCGAACGGGUGAGUAACACGUGAGUAACCUGCCCUUGACUUUGGGAUAACUUCAGGAAACUGGGGCUAAUACCGGAUAGGAGCUCCUGCUGCAUGGUGGGGGUUGGAAAGUUUCGGCGGUUGGGGAUGGACUCGAGGCUUAUCAGCUUGUUGGUGGGGUAGUGGCUUACCAAGGCUUUGACGGGUAGCCGGCCUGAGAGGGUGACCGGCCACAAUGGGACUGAGAUACGGCCCAGACUCCUACGGGAGGCAGCAGUGGGGAAUAUUGCACAAUGGGCGGAAGCCUGAUGCAGCAACGCCGCGUGCGGGAUGACGGCCUUCGGGUUGUAAACCGCUUUCGCCUGUGACGAAGCGUGAGUGACGGUAAUGGGUAAAGAAGCACCGGCUAACUACGUG